CAUCAAAGAAGUCAAGGAAAAGGUUUUCUCCUGAUUCAUUGGGCAGGACACCACCAAUACAAUUCUGGAUUCCAUCCUGAAAGGAGGACACUGCCCGUCUGUACAGGUUGGCUUGAACGAAGGAAAAGAGGGUGUGAAGGAAUCUCCAUAUUGGGCUCGAGGAGUUAUGGCUAGAGGAGCAGGCGAAGCUGGAGGCAGACCACGUCAUCUGAGAAUCCCCGCUGAAAGGAAGUGAUGUGCAGCUUGUGGGCGGCGCCUGAGGAACCUGAAGAAGCGUUCCCAGGAGCCUCGUGUAGGUAACGCAUACCGGCCACUGAGACUAACUGCUUCAUUUUUACCAGACGGGGGAAAAUACGCGCGUUGAAAUGCUUUAUUCGCGUGUAGCAGAUAAACUGGCAGCGGCACCCAUCCCUCAAGGAAUCUAUCCACAUUACAAAAAGAUAAGGAAAGAAUAAGUGAAAUAAGUAAAUAUAUGAAUGCAAUAAAUAAUGAGCAAAAUCAAUUAUCCAAUCCAGCAAUACAAAACAAAUGAGUAAGAUAAUUAUCAAAUGAAUAAAAUAAUUAAAUAAAAAUAACGAAAUAGAAGCGAACAAAACGAAUCAUCUAAUCAAUCAACAGGAAACAAAUAUAAGCAACAUAAUAAAAAAAAACAAAUAAAAUCAAACAAAAAAAAACCAGAAUAAGAAAAUAAAAUAAAGAACAUCCGGUAAAAGGCAACGAAAUAUCUGAAAAAAUUAUUUCUUUAACUAAUUGAGAAGUGAAAAGAAAUAUGACUACAAGUAAAACAAGCAGAAAGUCAUGAAAUGCUAUGAUACCAAAACUAUACCAAGCUUUCUUGUAACAAAAAUAAAUAAGAAAUGAAUAAACAAGGACACAUAAGA
Portunus trituberculatus (swimming crab) is the source of this 881-nucleotide long non-coding RNA. RefSeq lists it as uncharacterized. The transcript is spliced from 3 exons. The record is from RefSeq and is a predicted model, not a curated record. Lineage: Eukaryota; Metazoa; Arthropoda; Malacostraca; Decapoda; Portunidae.